This is a non-coding RNA of Triticum aestivum (bread wheat), 134 nucleotides long. The record is from Rfam. Lineage: Eukaryota; Viridiplantae; Streptophyta; Magnoliopsida; Poales; Poaceae.
CAAAUACUCCCUCCGUCUGGAAAUACUUGUCAUCAAAAUGGAUAAAAGGAAAUGUAUCAGACGUAUUUUAGUUUUAGAUACAUCUCUUUUUAUCCAUUUUGAUGACAAGUAUUUUCGGACGGAGGGAGUAGAAA